GCUGACGACAUUACAACACCCCUUUCGCUGCCCUCGCGAUUUCUGCUUUGAAGUGAGCCCCACAUUCAUCGCAUUCAUGUCUCGGCCUCAGCAGCAGCAGCAGCAGCAGGAGCGGAUGGGGGAGGGGAAAAGAAUCCAAGGUGAUUGUCCACAAAAAAUCGGUCCAUUCCAGGUUAUUGACUGUGUCCAUUCGAAUCUAAAACACAGACUAUGCAUGGACUAGUGAAUACUGGGCCAGUGCUCAAAUCAGAUGGCAUCAGCAGCUGCAAACUCAGAUCUAUCCUUGCCCUUCCUGAGGCCUGGCUUUGAUUACUGGGCCCCCCACCACGAGCCAACACAUGGCCAUGAGCGCAUACCAACUCAGUGCACAACCUCUGAGCAACCACUUGGAAACAAUCAAGAGGUAAAUAGCAUGAAAUAGAGGUGUUUGGAAACGGUUUGGAGAGAUCGUGCAGAUUAGGAGAGUAUUUAGUAAUUGCUCAAAGCCAGAUUAUUCUUGCCUUUGGAACCUUCACAAAGGGCGUUACAGUCGGAGGCGAGCAGGAAUCCUUGCCACAGAAAGUCAUUUGGGAAACUGUAACCAGAGGUCAGAGUCACGUGGGUGAAUGUCAGAUUGUUCUAUCGUUGUUCUUCUACGUAUAGUGAAAGUCACAGUCCCGGAGGAAACUAUUGGAAUCAUUUGACAGCUGUGUUUGGCGAGCUUCUUGCACGAGUUUUGAUGGAGGUUGUGACUGGCAGCUGUAGCUGCCAUUCUGCUACCUGUUGAGUGGCCUUGGAACUCUUAGACAAAUGACAUGACAGGUGCACUUCCAGCUUAAGUACCUGCUCCUCUACAAAGCAGCUGCGGUGAUUGCUGGUAGGUUGCACAAGACAAAGAAAACAACAGCAAGUCUGCUCUGAAUUACGCUAUGUUUGCUCAGAUUUUCCAGUUCUGCUCUCACCAGUGCAAAGCACAGUUUGUCCGAGUAUAUCGAAUAAACCCAUUAUCUUUUGAAGAACACUCAAAUAAACACACACUCAGGAAACUGUUACAGCUGCAAGGUCAGAAUGAAGCACUUAAGGCAUAAAUGCGGGAUGUUUCUCAAGAUAAAUUUGCAUAAAUUAGAUGCAGGCAUGUGAAAAAAUAGGGUGUAUUUGGUAUAAAUAUAAUGAUAAAUCAGUGCAGCGCCUGUAAUUCGUUAAGUAGUUUUUGUUCAUAUUUUGAAUUACAUGUUAUUUCUAUAUUUUCAGUUUUCAUUUUAAUUUUAG
This is a long non-coding RNA of Onychostoma macrolepis, 1248 nucleotides long. RefSeq lists it as uncharacterized. NCBI's taxonomy places the organism in Eukaryota, Metazoa, Chordata, Actinopteri, Cypriniformes, Cyprinidae. The record is from RefSeq and is a predicted model, not a curated record. The transcript has 3 exons.